UGCAGUCGACGGCAGCACAGGGGAGCUUGCUCCCUGGGUGGCGAGUGGCGGACGGGUGAGUAACGCGUAGGAAUCUGCCUUAUAGAGGGGGAUAACUCGGGGAAACUCGAGCUAAUACCGCAUAAUCUUUAAGAAGCAAAGCAGGGGAUCUUCGGACCUUGCGCUAUAAGAGGAGCCUGCGUUGGAUUAGCUAGUUGGUAGGGUAAAGGCCUACCAAGGCGACGAUCCAUAGCUGGUCUGAGAGGAUGACCAGCCACACUGGGACUGAGACACGGCCCAGACUCCUACGGGAGGCAGCAGUGGGGAAUAUUGGACAAUGGGGGCAACCCUGAUCCAGCAAUGCCGCGUGUGUGAAGAAGGCCUGCGGGUUGUAAAGCACUUUUAGUUAAGAGGAAAGGUUGAAUGCGAAUAGCAUUUGGCUGUGACGCUAUUAACAGAAAAAGCACCGGCUAACUCUGUGCCAGCAGCCGCGGUAAUACAGAGGGUGCAAGCGUUAAUCGGAAUGACUGGGCGUAAAGGGCGCGUAGGUGGUUAAUUAAGUUAGAUGUGAAAUCCCUGGGCUUAACCUAGGAACUGCAUUUAAUACUGGUUGACUUGAGUAUGGGAGAGGGCAGUGGAAUUUCCGGUGUAGCGGUGAAAUGCGUAGAUAUCGGAAGGAACACCAGUGGCGAAGGCGACUGCCUGGCCUGAUACUGACACUGAGGCGCGAAAGCGUGGGUAGCGAACAGGAUUAGAUACCCUGGUAGUCCACGCAGUAAACGAUGAGAACUAGGCGAGGGGUUAGCUAGACUAACUUCGUGCCGAAGCUAACGCGAUAAGUUCUCCGCCUGGGGAGUACGGCCGCAAGGUUAAAACUCAAAGGAAUUGACGGGGACCCGCACAAGCGGUGGAGCAUGUGGUUUAAUUCGAUGCAACGCGAAGAACCUUACCUACCCUUGACAUGUAUGGAAUCUUGCAGAGAUGUGAGAGUGCCCGCGAGGGAACCAUAACACAGGUGCUGCAUGGCUGUCGUCAGCUCGUGUCGUGAGAUGUUGGGUUAAGUCCCGUAACGAGCGCAACCCUUGUCCUUAGUUACCAUCAUUCAGUUGGGGACUCUAAGGAGACUGCCGGUGAUAAA
Molecule: ribosomal RNA, 1117 nt
Filed under: uncultured bacterium
Lineage: Bacteria
Description: bacterial SSU rRNA
Rfam family: Bacterial small subunit ribosomal RNA
Source: RNAcentral